Molecule: ribosomal RNA, 253 nt
Filed under: uncultured bacterium
Lineage: Bacteria
Description: partial 16S ribosomal RNA
Rfam family: Bacterial small subunit ribosomal RNA
Source: RNAcentral
UACGGAGGGUCCAAGCGUUAUCCGGAUUUAUUGGGUUUAAAGGGUGCGUAGGCGGCACAGUAAGUUAGAGGUGAAAUCUAGUGGCUCAACCACUAAACUGCCUCUGAUACUGCUGAGCUAGAGAUUAGAUGCUGUGGGCGGAAUGUGUAGUGUAGCGGUGAAAUGCUUAGAGAUUACACAGAACACCGAUUGCGAAGGCAGCUCACAAAUCUACUUCUGACGUUGAGGCACGAAAGCGUGGGUAGCAAACAGG